This 552-nucleotide long non-coding RNA is filed under the name Gallus gallus (chicken). The record is from RNAcentral. Lineage: Eukaryota; Metazoa; Chordata; Aves; Galliformes; Phasianidae.
AGAAAAUAUGGUUCAUGUCUGUAGAUAAAGUUGUAGUAUCUUCAAUCCAGAAAAUUUGGAUGAGAUUGUUUGUACAGAACAGACACAUAUGACCUUCGAUCAAUCCAUCACUAAUUACAUAAACUUUGUUAGCCACUGUCAUUUUUCUGUUGUUACGUGGGGAGAACCCAAUCUUAUGAUGACAAAUGAAAUCCUGAUGAAGAUCCGUGUUUUCUGGAUGGCAUGUGGUAACGAACUUUCUUCCAGAACCUUGUACUUGCUGAGUGUGACCUUUCCGAGAAGUCCCCUGUCCAUCGGAUAGCUCCAUACUUUUGCUUAACAUAUUUGAUGGAUUCUGGCAUGUUUGCAUAAUCUUCUAUUUUUUCAAGUUCAAUCAAAAUUAUUUUUAUACCAUCCUGGAUAAGAGCAUUAUACACAGCAAGAUGUUUUUCAGAUGCAUCUUCUAGAAUACCAUAACAUGAUGGUUCUGGUACUAAGAUAAUUAUUACUCUUCUACUUUGAUGGAUUUUUUCAUCAGUAACAUCGAUCACAGCUUCUCCUGCUAAAUCAUUC